This 465-nucleotide ribosomal RNA is filed under the name uncultured bacterium. RNAcentral describes it as "partial 16S ribosomal RNA". It matches the Rfam family "Bacterial small subunit ribosomal RNA", at positions 28 to 507 of the family's 1533-position model. The record is from RNAcentral.
GACGAACGCUGGCGGCGUGCUUAACACAUGCAAGUCGAACGGAAAGGCCCCUUUGGGGGUACUCGAGUGGCGAACGGGUGAGUAACACGUGAGUAACCUGCCCUUGACUUCGGGAUAACUUCAGGAAACUGGGGCUAAUACCGGAUAGGAAUCCUUGCUGCAUGGUGGGGGUUGGAAAGCUUCGGCGGUUUUGGAUGGACUCGCGGCUCAUCAGCUUGUUGGUGGUGUAGUGGCUUACCAAGGCUUUGACGGGUAGCCGGCCUUGGAGGGCGACCGGCCACAGUGAGACUGGGAUACGGCCCAGACUCCUACGGGUGGCAGCAGUGGGGGAGAGUGCACAAGGGGCGUGAGCCUGAUGCAGCACCGCCGCGUGCGGGAUGACGACCUUCGCGUUGUAAUCCGCUUUCAGCAGGGGCGAAGCUUGUGAUGACGGUACGUGCAGAAGAAGCACCGGCUAACUACGUG